This 1149-nucleotide ribosomal RNA is filed under the name Triticum aestivum (bread wheat). RNAcentral describes it as "partial small subunit ribosomal RNA". The record is from RNAcentral. Lineage: Eukaryota; Viridiplantae; Streptophyta; Magnoliopsida; Poales; Poaceae.
AUGACAUUGACGCCCCGCUCCACUCGCCUGGCACCCUUCCAAUCCGUCUUCUCCUCCCCCUCCCCUGCCGCUACUCCUGUCGCCGUCACUCCCCGCCGCUCCAACUCGCACCCCGCUGCCCGCCUCCACCUCCGCCUCCGCCUCCGCUGCUGCUGCUCCGCCAGCGAUCCGGCGCCGAUGGUGAAGGCCAUCAGGGUCCACGAGCUCGGCGGCCCCGAGGCGCUGCGGUGGGAGGAUGUGGAGGUGGGCGAGCCCGGGGACGGCGAGAUCCGGAUCCGGAACACCGCCAUCGGCGUCAACUUCAUCGACGUCUACUUCCGCAAGGGCGUCUACCCCGCUCCCCUCCCCUUCACCCCCGGCAUGGAAGCUGUUGGCGUGGUGACUGCCGUGGGGCCCGGACUGACCGGCAGGAAAGUCGGGGAUGUUGUCGCGUACGCAGGCAAGCCUAUGGGCUCUUAUGCUGAAGAGCAGAUUAUUCCAGCCGAUGUUGCUGUUCCUGUCCCACCUUCAGUAAAUCACAAGACAGCGGCUGCCAUCAUGCUCAAGGGGAUGACUGUUCAUAUGCUAGUUCGCCGCAUAUUUAAGGUUGAGACCGGCCAUACCGUUCUCGUCCACGCUGCUGCUGGUGGAGUUGGAUCACUCCUUUGUCAAUGGGCAAACGCCCUUGGUGCCACUGUCAUUGGAACUGUUUCAAAUGAAGAGAAAGCCACACACGCACAUUUUGAUGGAUGUCACCAUAUGAUCAUCUACACAAAGGAAGAUGUUGCAACCAGAGUCAAGGAGAUUACAGGUGGAAAAGGUGUAAAUGUGGUCUAUGAUUCUGUUGGAAAGGACACAUACAAGGCAUCCCUGGAGUGCCUGGCGUCCCGCGGUUUCCUGGUGUCGUUCGGGCAGUCCUCAGGCUCGCCUGACCCGAUCUCCAUGGGCGACCUGGCGUCGAAGUCGCUUUUCCUGACGAGGCCGAGCGUGAUGCACUACACGGGCACCCGCGACGAGCUGCUGGAGGCGGCGGGCGAGGUGUUUGCCAACGUGGCCAACGGGGUGCUGCACACCCGCGUGAAGCACACCUACCCGCUGUCCGAGGCGGCCCGCGCCCACGCCGACCUCGAGGCCCGGAAGACCUCGGGGUCCGUACUGCUGAUCCCGUAG